AAUGAUUUGGCAGAUUAGUGCAUUAAAUUUAGAAUUUAACUAAGUAUAAUUAUUAUAUACAUUCAUUA
This 68-nucleotide transfer RNA is filed under the name Aconurella prolixa. RNAcentral describes it as "tRNA-Leu". The record is from RNAcentral. Lineage: Eukaryota; Metazoa; Arthropoda; Insecta; Hemiptera; Cicadellidae.